UACGGAGGAUCCAAGCGUUAUCCGGAUUUAUUGGGUUUAAAGGGUGCGUAGGCGGCGUUGUAAGUCAGUGGUGAAAGUUUUUAGCUUAACUGGAAAAUUGCCAUUGAUACUGCAGUGCUUGAGUACAGAUGAGGUGGGCGGAAUGUGUCAUGUAGCGGUGAAAUGCAUAGAUAUGACACAGAACACCGAUUGCGAAGGCAGCUCACUAAACUGUAACUGACGCUGAGGCACGAAAGCGUGGGGAUCAAACAGG
Molecule: ribosomal RNA, 253 nt
Filed under: uncultured bacterium
Lineage: Bacteria
Description: partial 16S ribosomal RNA
Rfam family: Bacterial small subunit ribosomal RNA
Source: RNAcentral